GACAGAGGAUGCAAACGUUGCUCGGAAUUACUGGGCGUAAAGCGCGUGUAGGUGGCCUUGCGAGUCUGAUGUGAAAGCCCAGGGCUCAACCCUGGAAGUGCAUCGGAUACUACAAGGCUGGAGUACUGAAGAGGACAGCGGAAUUCCCGGUGUAGAGGUGAAAUUCGUAGAUAUCGGGAGGAACACCAGUGGCGAAGGCGGCUGUCUGGGCAGAUACUGACGCUGAGGAGCGAAAGCGUGGGGAGCAAACAGG
RNAcentral lists this ribosomal RNA (253 nucleotides) under uncultured bacterium. RNAcentral's name for it is "partial 16S ribosomal RNA". It matches the Rfam family "Bacterial small subunit ribosomal RNA", at positions 524 to 776 of the family's 1533-position model. The record is from RNAcentral.